RNAcentral lists this ribosomal RNA (533 nucleotides) under Trichoderma asperellum. RNAcentral's name for it is "eukaryotic LSU rRNA". The stretch from base 231 to 383 matches the Rfam family "5.8S ribosomal RNA". Lineage: Eukaryota; Fungi; Ascomycota; Sordariomycetes; Hypocreales; Hypocreaceae. The record is from RNAcentral.
AAAUCGUAACAAGGUGUCCGUUGGGAACCAGCGGAGGGAUCAUUACCGAGUUUACAACUCCCAAACCCAAUGUGAACGUUAUCAAACUGUUGCCUCGGCGGGGUCACGCCCCGGGUGGGUUGCAGCCCCGGAACCAGGCGCCCGCCGGAGGCCCCAACCAAACUCUUUCCCUAGUCCCGUACCGGACUGUAUUUUGAUCAUAUGGGAGCAAAAAUUCAAAAUGAAUCAAAACGUUCAAACUUUGGAUAAUUGGUUCUGUGGUUGAUGAAGAAAGCAGCGAAAUGCGAUAAGUAAUGUGAAAAGCAGAAUUCAUGAAUCAUUGAAUCAUUGAAUGCACAUUGCCCCAUUGCAGUAUUCCAGCGGGCAUGCGGGCAUGAGCGUCAUUUCAACCCUCGAACCCCUCCGGGGGAUGGGCGGUGGGGAUCGGGACCCCUCUCAGCGGGCCCGGCCCCGAAAUACAGGGUGGUCUGUCACGCAGCAUCUCAGUAGCCAGUCGUUUGCCCAGGUAGCGACCGGGGAGUUCCGAGCGCGUA